Molecule: non-coding RNA, 1281 nt
Organism: Notechis scutatus (mainland tiger snake)
Lineage: Eukaryota; Metazoa; Chordata; Lepidosauria; Squamata; Elapidae
Source: RefSeq, a predicted model, not a curated record
ACAGGCAACUGUCAAUAAGCAAAGUGACAGUCACAUCUCCUGCAUGUUAAUCUUAAUGGACAGGAGAUGUUUGCAAGAGAAUAAAAAGCCCCUUCGUCCCUCCAAAGCCGUACAAUAAAAUCAUUUUUUUAAAAAAAAUUAAAGGAAAAAGCCUUCUUUGUCGACCCUAUUUGGAAGGAUCAUUUAAAAAUACAGCUGUCUGCAACAAGGAUUCGAGAGGGAAUGAAGGGGGGGGGGGAGGAGAAGAGGGCUUACCCACCAACACCCUGGCAAACAAGGCUGCUCUGCAUCUGUUGUACCUGUUCCUGUUGCCUUCCUUGCCUCUUGGAAUCAUGUCAAGAGAGAAAAGUCGCCUCAAAGCUGCGGGUCUGCAGCCCUGUGCAGGAAGUUGGCACCGAUCCCAGGCAGCGCAAAAGGCACCCCCAGAUUGCAGUGACGUCAUUUUUUUCCUCUCUUCCAAGUUUCACAAAGAUUGGCUGUGUGUAUGAAUGUCUAUGAAUGGUGCAUUUGUAUAGUAAUGUUGUGACAAAGAAAGUCUAAAGUUUAAAAACAUCCAGGAUAUCAUUGAACUGCUGAAGCUUCAAAGGCAUGACAAAUACUUAAAAUUGUGAGAGAUUUAAUCUUAAAGGACUCAGCAUGAUUUUACAGAUAUCAAGUAAGCUUUGAAUUAAUUUGCUGUAGCUGUUCAUUUACUUUGACAUAAACAACUUUAAAAUUUUGGCAAAGAUCAGAAGCUAUGGAAGCACCUGCAUUUCUAGAUUCCAUAAAAACCGUUCCCCAAUAAAUUGUGCCGAAUGCUUACACAAUAUAUUUUUCAGAUGUAAUCCUCAAAUCAUCAGGACAAAUAUAUUGGCUCAAAAGAUUGUGAUGAUAAAAUAAAAUUUCUGGGCCACUGCAUUUGAAAGACAAAUUUCAUCCCUAAAGAAUUCCUACAACUUUUCUGAAGCAAGAGAUUGUGAAUAUUUUCCUUUCUGGGUUAAAAGAAAAUACCAAGAAAAACAAUGACAAAAUAGACAUACCAUACUUCACUGUAUGAAAGUUACAAAAUUAAUGCACUUGGCUCCUGACCCAGAAAGCACUUCAAUGCUUUCCUGAAGCCAGCUUAGAUCCAUUUGGGAAUUACUGAGUAAUACACACAUGCAGAAAACAUAAAACCUACCACCAAAGUUAAAUGGUAUGGAGUCACUGGCUCUAUUUACAGCAAACCUAGAUGGAAACAAGACUUUCUUCUGUGUAUAGAUAAAGCUGGAACACAGCUUGCUGAGCAACAUUUUCAGUAUU